RNAcentral lists this ribosomal RNA (662 nucleotides) under uncultured organism. RNAcentral's name for it is "SSU rRNA". It matches the Rfam family "Bacterial small subunit ribosomal RNA", at positions 810 to 1472 of the family's 1533-position model. The record is from RNAcentral.
UGAGUGCUAGGUGUUGGGUCCUUUCCGGGAUUCAGUGCCGCAGCUAACGCAUUAAGCACUCCGCCUGGGGAGUACGACCGCAAGGUUGAAACUCAAAGGAAUUGACGGGGGCCCGCACAAGCGGUGGAGCAUGUGGUUUAAUUCGAAGCGACGCGAAGAACCUUACCAGGUCUUGACAUCCCGAUGCUAUUUCUAGAGAUAGGAAGUUACUUCGGUACAUCGGUGACAGGUGGUGCAUGGUUGUCGUCAGCUCGUGUCGUGAGAUGUUGGGUUAAGUCCCGCAACGAGCGCAACCCCUAUUGUUAGUUGCCAUCAUUCAGUUGGGCACUCUAGCGAGACUGCCGGUAAUAAACCGGAGGAAGGUGGGGAUGACGUCAAAUCAUCAUGCCCCUUAUGACCUGGGCUACACACGUGCUACAAUGGUUGGUACAACGAGUUGCGAGUCGGUGACGGCGAGCUAAUCUCUUAAAGCCAAUCUCAGUUCGGAUUGUAGGCUGCAACUCGCCUACAUGAAGUCGGAAUCGCUAGUAAUCGCGGAUCAGCACGCCGCGGUGAAUACGUUCCCGGGCCUUGUACACACCGCCCGUCACACCACGAGAGUUUGUAACACCCGAAGUCGGUGAGGUAACCUAAAGGGGCCAGCCGCCUAAGGUGGGAUAGAU